GACGAACGCUGGCGGCGUGCUUAACACAUGCAAGUCGAACGGUGAACCGGGCUUCGGCCCGGGGAUCAGUGGCGAACGGGUGCGUAACACGUGGGCAACCUGCCUCAGACACUGGGGAUAACCCCGGGAAACCGGGGCUAAUACCGGAUACUCCGACCGGACUGCAUGAUCCGGCCGGGAAAGCUCCGACGGUCUGAGAUGGGCCCGNGGCCUAUCAGCUUGUGUGGGGUAACGCCACAAGGCGACGACGGGAGCUGGUCUGAGAGGACGACCAGCCACACUGGAACUGAGACACGGUCCAGACUCCUACGGGAGGCAGCAGUGGGGAAUCUUGCGCAAUGGGCGAAAGCCUGACGCAGCGACGCCGCGU
RNAcentral lists this ribosomal RNA (370 nucleotides) under uncultured bacterium. RNAcentral describes it as "bacterial SSU rRNA". It matches the Rfam family "Bacterial small subunit ribosomal RNA", at positions 28 to 402 of the family's 1533-position model. The record is from RNAcentral.